This is a small nucleolar RNA of Lathyrus oleraceus (garden pea), 107 nucleotides long. RefSeq annotates it as small nucleolar RNA snoR97. The record is from RefSeq and is a predicted model, not a curated record. The transcript has a single exon. Lineage: Eukaryota; Viridiplantae; Streptophyta; Magnoliopsida; Fabales; Fabaceae.
AUCCUUUAGUUUGUUCAGAGUCUAAAAAACUCAAAUAUUGUUGUGUUGUCAUCAACAUCAUCUCUUGUUUUCCCCCGAGCAGGGAGUUAAAUAACAACACUAAAUUA